RNAcentral lists this long non-coding RNA (948 nucleotides) under Equus caballus (horse). RNAcentral describes it as "lncRNA (ENSECAG00000053304.1)". Lineage: Eukaryota; Metazoa; Chordata; Mammalia; Perissodactyla; Equidae. The record is from RNAcentral.
UGUCUGAUCCCUGGCAAGCCUCAUAUAUUUCUGUGACAGGCAAUUACCGGGACACCGGCACUGGGGCGCCCAUCUCGUCGGUGCUCUCUGUCUGCCACCCCCUCUGUGCUGAGCCUUCUCCCCACCCCCUUUCCUUUUCAGUGAUGGAGUUUUCUACCCCCACGCUCCCCUUUUCCCCACUCCACUGUUCUGCAGGUUAUACAAUCUAUUUCUCCUCUUUCUGUGUCACCGUCUGAUAAAACAAAGGACAUUGAUGAUGGAAGGAAAACCGCAGGGGGAUAACCAGCCCUUGCUGGCAAGGAGGGCUCACUUGAUGGUGCUGAGCCUGAGUUUACACCGAGAUGGGGAGGGACGACAGCCCUCCUGAAAGGCUGUGAAGAUGAGACGGUCGAGUGUGGCCAGACUCGGCGUCGACCAGCCUCUCCUGCCAGGAGCGCCCCCUCCACACAGUGAGGACCACGGCAGUUUCUUACGCUUCGGCUAAAGUCUGCCCUGGACUCUGAGCUGAGCUGCCCAGCCAGAGGACCAUGGUUUCCAAACAUGAGAGGCAAUGUGUCCUGUCUUCCUUCCUGGCAUGCAGUCAUGAUGGCUGGUGCUCCAGCAGCCAUCUCAGCCCAUGAGGCACUACACCAAGGAUGGCAAAGCAGGAAGGAACCACAAGAGGUGUGCUGUUCUCAGGUUCUCUUGCCGCUCACCAAGCCACAGACAAGAGUAACACGGCAGUUGGGGGACAAAAAGAAGAUCUCUAAAGCCUGCCGAGAGAAAGCUAAAUGGCUGUACGGUCAUUGUGGCCUCACAGCCGACAUCUCAACAGCAGUGAUGGCAGCUAGAGCAUCGCGGAGCAAUGGCAGUGCCGAGAAAAAAGAUGUAACUGCCAGCCCGGGAUUGUAGACGCGGCUAAAUGAUCUUUCACAAACUGGGGUGAAAUAAAGACAUUUUCAAACAGGC